Molecule: ribosomal RNA, 502 nt
Filed under: uncultured Desulfobulbus sp.
Lineage: Bacteria; Pseudomonadati; Thermodesulfobacteriota; Desulfobulbia; Desulfobulbales; Desulfobulbaceae
Description: bacterial SSU rRNA
Rfam family: Bacterial small subunit ribosomal RNA
Source: RNAcentral
GCCCGCUCAAGAACUACAAAGGAAUUGACGGGGGCCCGCACAAGCGGUGGAGUAUGUGGUUUAAUUCGAUGCAACGCGAAGAACCUUACCUGGUCUUGACAUCCCGGAGACCCUUAGGAAACUAGGGGGUGCUUCCAUCUGGAAGAAUCUGGAGACAGGUGCUGCAUGGCUGUCGUCAGCUCGUGUCGUGAGAUGUUGGGUUAAGUCCCGCAACGAGCGCAACCCUUGCCUUUAGUUGCCAGCAGUUCGGCUGGGCACUCUAAAGGGACUGCCGGUGUUAAACCGGAGGAAGGUGGGGAUGACGUCAAGUCCUCAUGGCCUUUAUGACCAGGGCUACACACGUACUACAAUGGCCGAUACAAAGGGCAGCGACACUGCGAGGUGAAGCCAAUCCCGUAAAAUCGGUCUCAGUCCGGAUUGGAGUCUGCAACUCGACUCCAUGAAGUUGGAAUCGCUAGUAAUCGUGGAUCAGCAUGCCACGGUGAAUACGUUCCCGGGCCUU